ACACCGGCAGCUCAAGUGGUAGCCGCUUUUAUUGGGCCUAAAGCGUCCGUAGCCGGUCUGAUAAGUCUCUGGUGAAAUCCCGCAGCUUAACUGUGGGAAUUGCUGGAGAUACUAUCAUGACUCGAGGUCGGGAGAGGCUGGAGGUACUCCCAGGGUAGGGGUGAAAUCCUGUAAUCCUGGGAGGACCACCUGUGGCGAAGGCGUCCAGCUGGAACGAACCUGACGGGGAGGGACGAAAGCCAGGGGCGCGAACCGGAUUAGAUCCCCGGGUAGUCCUGGCCGUAAACGAUGUGGACUUGGUGUUGGGAUGGCUUCGAGCUGCCCCAGUGCCGAAGGGAAGCUGUUAAGUCCACCGCCUGGGAAGUACGGCCGCAAGGCUGAAACUUAAAGGAAUUGGCGGGG
Molecule: ribosomal RNA, 402 nt
Filed under: uncultured bacterium
Lineage: Bacteria
Description: partial 16S ribosomal RNA
Rfam family: Archaeal small subunit ribosomal RNA
Source: RNAcentral